Molecule: ribosomal RNA, 622 nt
Filed under: uncultured bacterium
Lineage: Bacteria
Description: bacterial SSU rRNA
Rfam family: Bacterial small subunit ribosomal RNA (bases 1-534)
Source: RNAcentral
CCUACGGGAGGCAGCAGUAAGGAAUAUUGGUCAAUGGACGCAAGUCUGAACCAGCCAUGCCGCGUGAAGGAUUAAGGUCCUCUGGAUUGUAAACUUCUUUUAUCUGGGACGAAAAAAGGCGAUUCUUCGUCACUUGACGGUACCAGAUGAAUAAGCACCGGCUAACUCCGUGCCAGCAGCCGCGGUAAUACGGAGGGUGCAAGCGUUAUCCGGAUUCACUGGGUUUAAAGGGUGCGUAGGCGGGCAGGUAAGUCAGUGGUGAAAUCCUAGAGCUUAACUCUAGAACUGCCAUUGAUACUAUCUGUCUUGAAUAUUGUGGAGGUAAGCGGAAUAUGUCAUGUAGCGGUGAAAUGCUUAGAUAUGACAUAGAACACCUAUUGCGAAGGCAGCUUACUACGCAUAUAUUGACGCUGAGGCACGAAAGCGUGGGGAUCAAACAGGAUUAGAUACCCUGGUAGUCCACGCCCUAAACGAUGAUUACUCGACAUUUGUGAUACACUAUAAGUGUNUGAGNGAAGANAUAAGUAAUACACCGNGGAGACGACCGACGAGUUAGUAAACGUUAAAGUAAAGUUAGACGGCGUGAGACGUUAGCCGACGGACGACGACGAGGGGAGGUAGG